AGAGUUUGAUCCUGGCUCAGGAUUAACGCUGGCGAGAGGCAUAACACAUGCAAGUCGAGCGCCCCGCACUUUUUUUACAACUCUAAAACGGUUGCCGAAAAAGUGCGGGGAGCGGCGGACGGCUGAGUAACACGUUGGUACCUACCCUAUACUCAGGGAUAAGCCGGGGAAACCCGGUCUAAUACCGGAUGGUCCUCAUUUACACGAGGUAAAGAUUUAUCGGUAUAGGAGGGGCCUGCGCCCUAUCAGCUAGUUGGUGAGGUAAUAGCUCACCAAGGCAAUGACGGGUAGCUGGUGUGAGAGCAUGACCAGCCAGAAUGGGACUGAGAACGGCCCAUACUCCUACGGGAGGCAGCAGUGAGGAAUCUUCCGCAAUGGACAAAGUCUGACGGAGCCAUCUCGCGUGCAGGAUGACACCCUUCGGGGCGUAAACUGCUUUUCUGAGGGAAGAAAUUCUGACGGUACCUCAGGAAUAAGUGCCUGCUAACUACGUGCCAGCAGCCGCGGUAAUACGUAGGGCACAAGCGUUAUCCGAAAUCACUGGGCGUAAAGCGAUCAAAGGCGGUCUGAUAGGUCUGGCGUUAAAGCCCUCGGCUCAACCGAGGAAUCGUGCUGGAAACCAACAGACUAGAGGAAUGCAGAGGCAGGUAGAAUUCCUAUUGUAGGGGUUAAAUCCGUUGAUAAUAGGAGGAAUACCAAAAGUGAAGACAGCCUGCUGGGCAUUUCCUGACGCUGCUUGAUCGAAAGCGUGGGGAGCAAAACGGAUUAGAUACCCGUGUAGUCCACGCCCUAAACUAUGGAUACUCGGUGUUCGGGGGUCUAAUCCCCCUGAGUGCCCAAGCUAACGCGUUAAGUAUCCCGCCUGAGUAGUACGGUCGCAAGACUAAAACUUAAAGGAAUAGACGGGGAUCCACACAAGCGGUGGAGCAUGUUGUUUAAUUCGACAGUAAGCGAGGAACCUUACCAGGACUUGACAUCCCAAGAACUCUGCCGAAAGGCGGAGGUGCCUUUAUUGGAACUUGGUGACAGGUGUUGCAUGGUCGUCGUCAGCUCGUGCCUUGAGGUGUUCGGUUAAGUCCGAUAACGAGCGCAACCCUCGUCGUAUGUUGUUUUUUUCAUACGAGACUGCCGGUUUCACGCCGGAGGAAGGUGAGGAUGACGUCAGAUCAGCAUGGCCCUUAUGUCCUGGGCUACAAACGUGCUACAAUGGCCGGUACAAAGCGCAGCGAAACAGUAAUGUGGAGCAAAUCGCAUCAAAACCGGUCUCAGUUCGGAUUGAGGUCUGCAACUCGACCUCAUGAAGUUGGAAUCGCUAGUAAACGCCGAUCAGCUACGCGGCGUUGAAUAUGUUCCUGGAUCUCGUACUCACCGCCCGUCAAGUCAUGAAAGGCAGGGGCGCCCGAAGUCGUGUUAUCCCGUUCGCGGGAGCAUGCCUAAGGUGAAACUGCUGAUUGGGACUAAGUCGUAACAAGGUAACC
Molecule: ribosomal RNA, 1478 nt
Filed under: uncultured bacterium
Lineage: Bacteria
Description: bacterial SSU rRNA
Rfam family: Bacterial small subunit ribosomal RNA
Source: RNAcentral